GAUGGACCCGCGUCUGAUUAGCUGGUUGGUGAGGUAACGGCCCACCAAGGCGACGAUCAGUAGCCGGCCUGAGAGGGUGAACGGCCACAUUGGGACUGAGACACGGCCCAAACUCCUACGGGAGGCAGCAGUGGGGAAUAUUGCACAAUGGGGGAAACCCUGAUGCAGCAACGCCGCGUGAGUGAAGAAGUAUUUCGGUAUGUAAAGCUCUAUCAGCAGGAAAGAAAAUGACGGUACCUGACUAAGAAGCCCCGGCUAACUACGUGCCAGCAGCCGCGGUAAUACGUAGGGGGCAAGCGUUAUCCGGAUUUACUGGGUGUAAAGGGAGCGUAGACGGUUUUGCAAGUCUGAAGUGAAAGCCCGGGGCUUAACCCCGGGACUGCUUUGGAAACUGU
RNAcentral lists this ribosomal RNA (395 nucleotides) under uncultured bacterium. RNAcentral's name for it is "bacterial SSU rRNA". It matches the Rfam family "Bacterial small subunit ribosomal RNA", at positions 224 to 636 of the family's 1533-position model. The record is from RNAcentral.